RNAcentral lists this long non-coding RNA (1641 nucleotides) under Gossypium raimondii (Peruvian cotton). Its description in RNAcentral is "long non-coding RNA (GRAI_LNC009858)". The record is from RNAcentral. Lineage: Eukaryota; Viridiplantae; Streptophyta; Magnoliopsida; Malvales; Malvaceae.
GAGAAGACUACCUCAAACGGGGAAAAGAGAAGAUAGUGAAGUAAAUUGCAAAAUUACGAUAUUUUGCACCGAGGUAAGUAAACAUGUGAAAUAAUGCAUAUUUUUUAUAUUAUUUGAUAUAUGUUGAGAUUUAUUUGAACAUAGAAUAAAUAUUUGGCAAAGAUUCUAAAAGUGUGGUUAAGUUGGGACAGGUGGUAAAGUGUUGAAAAACACGGUUUCCGGUUGAACACUCGGAAUAGGCCGGAUUACACUGAAUAUAAAGGGGGUUGCUAAGUGUUGAUUCCCCCAAAGGGGUUGCUAAGUGCUAAUUCCCCGAUUCAUUGGUGGUUGCUAAGUGCUGAUUCCACCGUAUCUUAAAUGUGAAAGGGGUUGCUAAGUGCUGAUUCCCCGACUCAUUGGUGGUUGCUAAGUGCUGAUUCCACUGUAUCUUAAAUGUGAAGGGGAUUGCUAAGUGCUGAUUCCCCCGAGGGGUUGCUAAGUGCUGAUUCCCCGAAUCAUUGGUGGUUGCUAAGUGCUGAUCCCACCGUAUCUUAAAUGUGAAAGGGGUUGCUAAGUGCUGAUUCCCCGACUCAUUGGUGGUUAUUAAGUGCUGAAUCCACCGAUAACGGAUAACAUUCCGAGUGUUCAACGAGGAAAUUGGAAAGGUGAAUAUUUAUAUAUGGUGGACAAGUUUAUGGGAGGAAUAUUGGGUUUUGAUACUUAAUCAAUCCAUAUGUAAGAUGGGAGGAAAUAUCAAAAAUACAAAAGAACAAUUUAAAUACAAAACUGUUUUGAAUAAUAACAGUUGGGCAGCUUUGAAAAAAUCACCAUAAAUGGUGGAAAAUGAAUUAGAGGUUGAAUAAUAUAUGAAAUUGAAGCUGGAUGAGUUUAUUUUCAUAUUAAAGAAAUAGAGCAAGCGAAAGAGUUGUAUAUUUGGGGAUAUUUGAAUUUUAUUGAGACAGGGUUGAAUUGAUUUCGAAAUCCCCUGUUCCAACUUUGGAAAAUCACCAUAAAUUGUAAAAAAAUAAUUAUGGCCUGAAAUUUAUAUGUUUGGAUUCCUUAAUGAGUAUAUUUUUAAUAUAAACAAACUAGAACAUUGUUUGAAUUCUGUACAGGGAGUUAAGUAAAUUUUAGUAAGGAGAGGUCAGAACUGUCAAGUAGUGAAACAGGGGAAUAUUUAGAGAAUAAACUGUACUAAUUGGCCAAACCAAAAAUUCUGAAAAUUUUAUGGUAGAAUGGUAUAUGAACCUAGUUUCAGGGAAAAUUUACGGAACUUAAUUUGGAUCCCUGUAUCUCCAGAUAAAAAUAAAUUAGUGACCGUGAUGCAGAAAAACAGCUUGCUGGAAAUUGAGCAAACAAUGAAGUUUAUGUGUGAUUAAAAUUAUGUUACUAUGUAAUCAUGUGAGGAAUUUAUUUAUUGGUCAUAUGUUUACUUACUAAGCCAUAUGCUUACUCGUUUUUAUUUUCCCUUGAUUAUAGUGAAAUCAAUCAGCUCGGAACUUGGAGGACGUCAGAUAAUCAUCUACACUAUCAUCAACUUUUUGGGUAUUUUGCAAUUAAUACUUUGGAAACAUGGCAUGUAUAGAUGACUUUAUGUAAUGUGGUAUAAAUAUGUAUAUAUUCAGUAUUGUUCGGUUUAAUAUGUUGGUGUUUAUUAAUGGA